UUUAGUGCUGAAGUUAACGCAUUAAGCACUCCGCCUGGCCAGUACGGCCGCAAGGCUGAACUCAAAGGAAUUGACGGGGGCCCGCACAAGCGGUGGAGCAUGUGGUUUAAUUCGAAGCAACGCGAAGAACCUUACCAGGUCUUGACAUCCUCUGAAAACCCUAGAGAUAGGGCUUCUCCUUCGGGAGCAGAGUGACAGGUGGUGCAUGGUUGUCGUCAGCUCGUGUCGUGAGAUGUUGGGUUAAGUCCCGCAACGAGCGCAACCCUUGAUCUUAGUUGCCAUCAUUAAGUUGGGCACUCUAAGGUGACUGCCGGUGACAAACCGGAGGAAGGUGGGGAUGACGUCAAAUCAUCAUGCCCCUUAUGACCUGGGCUACACACGUGCUACAAUGGACGGUACAAAGAGCUGCAAGACCGCGAGGUGGAGCUAAUCUCAUAAAACCGUUCUCAGUUCGGAUUGUACGCUGCAACUCGCCUACAUGAAGCUGGAAUCGCUAGUAAUCGCGGAUCAACAUGCCGCGGUGAAUACGUUCCCGGGAA
Molecule: ribosomal RNA, 539 nt
Filed under: Bacillus sp. (in: firmicutes)
Lineage: Bacteria; Bacillati; Bacillota; Bacilli; Caryophanales; Bacillaceae
Description: bacterial SSU rRNA
Rfam family: Bacterial small subunit ribosomal RNA
Source: RNAcentral